This 346-nucleotide ribosomal RNA is filed under the name uncultured bacterium. RNAcentral's name for it is "bacterial SSU rRNA". It matches the Rfam family "Bacterial small subunit ribosomal RNA", at positions 29 to 396 of the family's 1533-position model. The record is from RNAcentral.
AACGAACGCUGGCGGCAUGCCUAACACAUGCAAGUCGAACGGGAUCCUAGCUUGCUAGGUGAGAGUGGCGGACGGGUGAGUAACACGUGGGAAUCUCGCCUUUUAGGUUCGGGAUAACCGCGGGAAACUGCGGCUAAUACCGAAUGCCCUCGAGAGAGGAAGAUUAUCGCCAGAAGAGGAGCCCGCGUCCGAUUAGGUAGUUGGUGGGGUAAAGGCCUACCAAGCCGACGAUCGGUAGCUGGUCUGAGAGGAUGAUCAGCCACACUGGGACUGAGAUACGGCCCAGACUCCUACGGGAGGCAGCAGUGGGAAUAUUGGACAAUGGGGCAACCCUGAUCCAGCAAUG